UAGGGAAUCUUCGGCAAUGGGGGGAACCCUGACCGAGCAACGCCGCGUGAGUGAAGAAGGUUUUCGGAUCGUAAAGCUCUGUUGUUAAGGAAGAACGAGUGUGAGAAUGGAAAGUUCAUGCUGUGACGGUACUUAACCAGAAAGGGACGGCUAACUACGUGCCAGCAGCCGCGGUAAUACGUAGGUCCCGAGCGUUGUCCGGAUUUAUUGGGCGUAAAGCGAGCGCAGGCGGUUAGAAAAGUCUGAUGUGAAAGCCCCCGGCUCAACCGGGGAGGGUCAUUGGAAACUGGUUGACUUGAGUGCAGAAGAGGAGAGUGGAAUUCCAUGUGUAGCGGUGAAAUGCGUAGAUAUAUGGAGGAACACCAGUGGCGAAGGCGACUCUCUGGUCUGUAACUGACGCGGAGGCUCGAAAGCGUGGGUAGCAAACAGG
Molecule: ribosomal RNA, 430 nt
Filed under: Bacteroidota bacterium
Lineage: Bacteria; Pseudomonadati; Bacteroidota
Description: Bacteroidetes bacterium partial 16S ribosomal RNA
Rfam family: Bacterial small subunit ribosomal RNA
Source: RNAcentral